UUGAACGCUGGCGGCAUGCUUUACACAUGCAAGUCGAACGGCAGCGGGGGCUUCGGCCUGCCGGCGAGUGGCGAACGGGUGAGUAAUGCAUCGGAACGUGCCCAGUCAUGGGGGAUAACUACGCGAAAGCGUAGCUAAUACCGCAUACGCCCUGAGGGGGAAAGCGGGGGAUCGCAAGACCUCGCGUGAUUGGAGCGGCCGAUGUCGGAUUAGCUAGUUGGUGGGGUAAAGGCCUACCAAGGCGACGAUCCGUAGCGGGUCUGAGAGGAUGAUCCGCCACACUGGGACUGAGACACGGCCCAGACUCCUACGGGAGGCAGCAGUGGGGAAUUUUGGACAAUGGGCGAAAGCCUGUUCCAGCCAUACCGCGUGAGUGAAGAAGGCCUUCGGGUUGUAAAGCUCUUUCAGCCGGAAAGAAAUUGCUUCUAUUAAUACUAGGAGUAGAUGACGGUACCGGAAGAAGAAGCACCGGCUAACUACGU
Molecule: ribosomal RNA, 482 nt
Filed under: uncultured bacterium
Lineage: Bacteria
Description: bacterial SSU rRNA
Rfam family: Bacterial small subunit ribosomal RNA
Source: RNAcentral